This 442-nucleotide ribosomal RNA is filed under the name uncultured bacterium. RNAcentral describes it as "partial 16S ribosomal RNA". It matches the Rfam family "Bacterial small subunit ribosomal RNA", at positions 28 to 507 of the family's 1533-position model. The record is from RNAcentral.
GACGAACGCUGGCGGCGUGCCUUAUACAUGCAAGUCGAGUGGGUUUAGACCCACGGCAAACGGGUGAGUAACACGUAGGUACUUUCCUUGUCACAGGAAUAACCCUCCGAAAGGAGGGCUAAUACCUGAUGUGAUCGCAAGAUUAAAGGGUAUCCGCAAGGAUUACCGGACAAGAAGAGGCCUGCGGCCUAUCAGCUAGUUGGCGGGGUAAAUGCCCACCAAGGCUAUGACGGGUAGCUGGUCUUAUGAGGAUGAUCAGUCACAUGGGCACUGAGACACGGGCCCAACUCCUACGGGAGGCAGCAGUAGGGAAUUUUGCGCAAUGGGCGAAAGCCUGACGCAGCGACGCCGCGUGCGGGAUGAAGGCCUUCGGGGCGUAAACCGCUUUUAUAAGGGACGAACUUUGACGGUACCUUAUGAAUAAGAGGUUGCUAACUCUGUG